CUUGGUCAUUUAGAGGAAGUAAAAGUCGUAACAAGUUUUCCGUAGGUGAACCUGCGGAAGGAUCAUUAUCGAAAUUAUUGGUGAGGGUUGUAGCUGGCCUUUCGAGGCAUGUGCACGCUCGAGCCCUUAAUCCACUUUACACCUGUGCACUUAAUGUAGGUCGCCCUUAAAAAAGGUGACCUAUGUCUUAUCAUCAACCCAUCGUAUGUCUCAUAGAAUGUAAUCGAUAUCCUCGCCCUAAAAAAGCGUUGAUAAACUUAUACAACUUUCAACAACGGAUCUCUUGGCUCUCGCAUCGAUGAAGAACGCAGCGAAAUGCGAUAAGUAAUGUGAAUUGCAGAUUUUCAGUGAAUCAUCGAAUCUUUGAACGCACCUUGCGCUCCUUGGUAUUCCGAGGAGCAUGCCUGUUUGAGUGUCAUUAAAUUCUCAACUCCAAGGGUUUCACGACCUUUCGGAGAUUGGACUUGGAGGUGCUGGCCGCAUAUUGGUCGGCUCCUCUCAAAUGCAUCAGCGGAAUUCAACCUUUGGCUUCCGGAUGUCAGUGUGAUAAUCAUGUUGCGCUGUCGUUUGAUCCCUCAGAGUCCGCUUAUAAUGGUCUUCGGACAAAAUCAUCAUCAAAUUUGACCUCAAAUCAGGUAGGACUACCCGCUGAACUUAAGCAUAUCAAUAAGCGGAGGA
Molecule: ribosomal RNA, 678 nt
Filed under: uncultured Atheliaceae
Lineage: Eukaryota; Fungi; Basidiomycota; Agaricomycetes; Atheliales; Atheliaceae
Description: eukaryotic LSU rRNA
Rfam family: 5.8S ribosomal RNA (bases 264-418)
Source: RNAcentral